RNAcentral lists this transfer RNA (60 nucleotides) under Ornithodoros tabajara. Its description in RNAcentral is "tRNA-Phe". The record is from RNAcentral. Lineage: Eukaryota; Metazoa; Arthropoda; Arachnida; Ixodida; Argasidae.
AUUUCUAUAGUUUAAGGAAAACGUAAUAGUGAAAAUAUUAAGAUAUUAGGUUUGGAAAUA